RNAcentral lists this small RNA (130 nucleotides) under Serratia marcescens. RNAcentral's name for it is "RtT sRNA". It matches the Rfam family "RtT RNA". Rfam says of the family: This family represents a bacterial cis-regulatory element known as RtT RNA. RNAcentral also lists the same sequence under 1 other name. The record is from RNAcentral. Lineage: Bacteria; Pseudomonadati; Pseudomonadota; Gammaproteobacteria; Enterobacterales; Yersiniaceae.
UUUCGUCUGUACAUUGAGAGGAUGAGAACCUCCGAAGGAGGUUUGAGCCGAACGUAGUGAGACCACGUUGCUUUAACAACGGCCCGCAGGGCAAGCAUCGAAGAUGCGCAUAAUCCUCUCAUGCCGACCA